UACGUAGGGGGCAAGCGUUGUCCGGAAUUAUUGGGCGUAAAGAGCGUGUAGGCGGUCCGGUAAGUCGGCUGUGAAAGCCCAGGGCUCAACCCUGGGAUGCCGGUCGAUACUGCCGGACUAGAGUUCGGAAGAGGCGAGUGGAAUUCCCGGUGUAGCGGUGAAAUGCGCAGAUAUCGGGAGGAACACCUAUGGCGAAGGCAGCUCGCUGGGACGUUACUGACGCUGGAGACGCGAAAAGCGUGGGGAGCAAACAGG
This 255-nucleotide ribosomal RNA is filed under the name uncultured bacterium. RNAcentral's name for it is "partial 16S ribosomal RNA". It matches the Rfam family "Bacterial small subunit ribosomal RNA", at positions 524 to 776 of the family's 1533-position model. The record is from RNAcentral.